Molecule: ribosomal RNA, 2786 nt
Filed under: Salmonella enterica subsp. enterica serovar Kentucky
Lineage: Bacteria; Pseudomonadati; Pseudomonadota; Gammaproteobacteria; Enterobacterales; Enterobacteriaceae
Description: partial 23S ribosomal RNA
Rfam family: Bacterial large subunit ribosomal RNA
Source: RNAcentral
GGGUUGUGAGGUUAAGCGACUAAGCGUACACGGUGGAUGCCCUGGCAGUCAGAGGCGAUGAAGGGCGUGCUAAUCUGCGAUAAGCGCCGGUAAGGUGAUAUGAACCGUUAUAACCGGCGAUACCCGAAUGGGGAAACCCAGUGUGACUCGUCACACUAUCAUUAACUGAAUCCAUAGGUUAAUGAGGCGAACCGGGGGAACUGAAACAUCUAAGUACCCCGAGGAAAAGAAAUCAACCGAGAUUCCCCCAGUAGCGGCGAGCGAACGGGGAGGAGCCCAGAGCCUGAAUCAGCAUGUGUGUUAGUGGAAGCGUCUGGAAAGGCGCGCGAUACAGGGUGACAGCCCCGUACACAAAAGCGCAUGUGCUGUGAGCUCGAUGAGUAGGGCGGGACACGUGGUAUCCUGUCUGAAUAUGGGGGGACCAUCCUCCAAGGCUAAAUACUCCUGACUGACCGAUAGUGAACCAGUACCGUGAGGGAAAGGCGAAAAGAACCCCGGCGAGGGGAGUGAAAAAGAACCUGAAACCGUGUACGUACAAGCAGUGGGAGCACAGGUUUACCUGUGUGACUGCGUACCUUUUGUAUAAUGGGUCAGCGACUUAUAUUCUGUAGCAAGGUUAACCGAAUAGGGGAGCCGGAGGGAAACCGAGUCUUAAUUGGGCGUUAAGUUGCAGGGUAUAGACCCGAAACCCGGUGAUCUAGCCAUGGGCAGGUUGAAGGUUGGGUAACACUAACUGGAGGACCGAACCGACUAAUGUUGAAAAAUUAGCGGAUGACCUGUGGCUGGGGGUGAAAGGCCAAUCAAACCGGGAGAUAGCUGGUUCUCCCCGAAAGCUAUUUAGGUAGCGCCUCGUGAAUUCAUCUCCGGGGGUAGAGCACUGUUUCGGCUAGGGGGCCAUCCCGGCUUACCAACCCGAUGCAAACUGCGAAUACCGGAGAAUGUUAUCACGGGAGACACACGGCGGGUGCUAACGUCCGUCGUGAAGAGGGAAACAACCCAGACCGCCAGCUAAGGUCCCAAAGUCAUGGUUAAGUGGGAAACGAUGUGGGAAGGCCCAGACAGCCAGGAUGUUGGCUUAGAAGCAGCCAUCAUUUAAAGAAAGCGUAAUAGCUCACUGGUCGAGUCGGCCUGCGCGGAAGAUGUAACGGGGCUAAACCAUGCACCGAAGCUGCGGCAGCGACGCUGAUGCGUUGUUGGGUAGGGGAGCGUUCUGUAAGCCUGUGAAGGUGUGUCGUGAGGCAUGCUGGAGGUAUCAGAAGUGCGAAUGCUGACAUAAGUAACGAUAAAGCGGGUGAAAAGCCCGCUCGCCGGAAGACCAAGGGUUCCUGUCCAACGUUAAUCGGGGCAGGGUGAGUCGACCCCUAAGGCGAGGCCGAAAGGCGUAGUCGAUGGGAAACGGGUUAAUAUUCCCGUACUUGGUGUUACUGCGAAGGGGGGACGGAGAAGGCUAUGUUGGCCGGGCGACGGUUGUCCCGGUUUAAGCGUGUAGGUGUGUGUUCCAGGUAAAUCCGGUUCACUUUAACACUGAGGCGUGACGACGAGGCACUACGGUGCUGAAGCAACAAAUGCCCUGCUUCCAGGAAAAGCCUCUAAGCAUCAGGUAACAUCAAAUCGUACCCCAAACCGACACAGGUGGUCAGGUAGAGAAUACCAAGGCGCUUGAGAGAACUCGGGUGAAGGAACUAGGCAAAAUGGUGCCGUAACUUCGGGAGAAGGCACGCUGACAUGUAGGUGAAGUGAUUUACUCACGGAGCUGAAGUCAGUCGAAGAUACCAGCUGGCUGCAACUGUUUAUUAAAAACACAGCACUGUGCAAACACGAAAGUGGACGUAUACGGUGUGACGCCUGCCCGGUGCCGGAAGGUUAAUUGAUGGGGUCAGCGCAAGCGAAGCUCCUGAUCGAAGCCCCGGUAAACGGCGGCCGUAACUAUAACGGUCCUAAGGUAGCGAAAUUCCUUGUCGGGUAAGUUCCGACCUGCACGAAUGGCGUAAUGAUGGCCAGGCUGUCUCCACCCGAGACUCAGUGAAAUUGAACUCGCUGUGAAGAUGCAGUGUACCCGCGGCAAGACGGAAAGACCCCGUGAACCUUUACUAUAGCUUGACACUGAACAUUGAGCCUUGAUGUGUAGGAUAGGUGGGAGGCUUUGAAGUGUGGACGCCAGUCUGCAUGGAGCCGACCUUGAAAUACCACCCUUUAAUGUUUGAUGUUCUAACGUGGACCCGUAAUCCGGGUUGCGGACAGUGUCUGGUGGGUAGUUUGACUGGGGCGGUCUCCUCCUAAAGAGUAACGGAGGAGCACGAAGGUUGGCUAAUCCUGGUCGGACAUCAGGAGGUUAGUGCAAUGGCAUAAGCCAGCUUGACUGCGAGCGUGACGGCGCGAGCAGGUGCGAAAGCAGGUCAUAGUGAUCCGGUGGUUCUGAAUGGAAGGGCCAUCGCUCAACGGAUAAAAGGUACUCCGGGGAUAACAGGCUGAUACCGCCCAAGAGUUCAUAUCGACGGCGGUGUUUGGCACCUCGAUGUCGGCUCAUCACAUCCUGGGGCUGAAGUAGGUCCCAAGGGUAUGGCUGUUCGCCAUUUAAAGUGGUACGCGAGCUGGGUUUAGAACGUCGUGAGACAGUUCGGUCCCUAUCUGCCGUGGGCGCUGGAGAACUGAGGGGGGCUGCUCCUAGUACGAGAGGACCGGAGUGGACGCAUCACUGGUGUUCGGGUUGUCAUGCCAAUGGCACUGCCCGGUAGCUAAAUGCGGAAGAGAUAAGUGCUGAAAGCAUCUAAGCACGAAACUUGCCC